AUUGAACGCUGGCUGCAGGCCUAACACAUGCAAGUCGAGCGGAUGAAGGGAGCUUGCUCCUGGAUUCAGCGGCGGACGGGUGAGUAAUGCCUAGGAAUCUGCCUGGUAGUGGGGGAUAACGUCCGGAAACGGGCGCUCAUACCGCAUACGUCCUGAGGGCGAAAGUGGGGGAUCUUCGGACCUCACGCUAUCAGAUGAUCCUAGGUCGGAUUACCUAGUUGGUUGGGUAAAGGCCUACCAAGGCAACGAUCCGUAACUGGUCUGGAAGGAUGAUCAGUAACACUGGAACUGAGAAACGGACCAGACUCAUACGGGAGGAAGCAGGGGGGAAUAUUGGAAGACGGGCGAAAGCCUGAUCAAGACAAGCCGCGUGUGUGAAAAAGGUCUUAGGAUUGUAAAGAACUUUGAGUGGGGAAGAAGAGCAGUAAGUUAAUACCUUGCUGUUUUGACGUAACCAAGAGAAUAAGCACAGGCUAACUUCGUG
RNAcentral lists this ribosomal RNA (484 nucleotides) under uncultured bacterium. Its description in RNAcentral is "partial 16S ribosomal RNA". It matches the Rfam family "Bacterial small subunit ribosomal RNA", at positions 30 to 507 of the family's 1533-position model. The record is from RNAcentral.